GUGUCAGCCGCCGCGGUAAUACAGAGGUGGCAAGCGUUGUUCGGAUUUACUGGGCUUAAAGGGCGUGUAGGCGUCCUGAUAAGUCAGAUGUGGAAGCCUUGGGCUUAACCCAAGAAUUGCAUUUGAAACUGUCAGGAUUGAGUCAUGCAAAGGAGGGCGGAAUUCCUGGUGUAGCGGUGAAAUGCGUAGAUAUCAGGAGGAAGGCCUGUGGUGAAGACGGCCCUCUAGGCAAUGACUGACGCUGAGGCGCGAAAGCGUGGGUAGCAAACAGGAUUAGAUACCCUUGUAGUCC
RNAcentral lists this ribosomal RNA (292 nucleotides) under uncultured bacterium. RNAcentral describes it as "partial 16S ribosomal RNA". It matches the Rfam family "Bacterial small subunit ribosomal RNA", at positions 505 to 796 of the family's 1533-position model. The record is from RNAcentral.